CAGACAGUACUGGAGGUUUAAGUCUUUUUAACCACAGAACAGCUACAGCCUGAGCAACAGCAGCAGUGCAAGCUUCCUGCAUUGCCCCACCUCUCCAAUGGGCCUUAACCAUGACCUGACAGACCACCUCUAAGAGGUGAGACAGUUCAGUCUCCAGGUGCAUUCAGUCCUCAAACUCC
Molecule: small RNA, 179 nt
Filed under: Chrysemys picta bellii (western painted turtle)
Lineage: Eukaryota; Metazoa; Chordata; Testudines; Emydidae
Description: TUC338 (ENSCPBG00000012468.1)
Source: RNAcentral